This 65-nucleotide transfer RNA is filed under the name Olidiana sp. 15062716. RNAcentral describes it as "tRNA-Ser". Lineage: Eukaryota; Metazoa; Arthropoda; Insecta; Hemiptera; Cicadellidae. The record is from RNAcentral.
AAGUUAAUUAGCUUAUAUAAAGCGUGUAUUUUGAAAAUACAAGUAAGAUUUAAAUUUAUUAACUU